ACAGGCGGCGAUAGCACGUUGAAUACACCAGUUCCCUACGGAUCACCGAAGUUAAGCAACGUUACGCGGGGUUAGUACCUGGAUGGUGACCAUCUGGGGACUCGCGUGCUGCUGGGU
Molecule: ribosomal RNA, 117 nt
Filed under: Diaphorina citri (Asian citrus psyllid)
Lineage: Eukaryota; Metazoa; Arthropoda; Insecta; Hemiptera; Psyllidae
Source: RNAcentral